GGGGAAUACUGCGCAAUGGGGGGAACCCUGACGCAGCCAUGCCGCGUGAAUGAAGAAGGCCUUAGGGUUGUAAAGUUCUUUCGGUAUUGAGGAAGGUUGAUGUGUUAAUAGCACAUCAAAUUGACGUUAAAUACAGAAGAAGCACCGGCUAACUCCGUGCCAGCAGCCGCGGUAAUACGGAGGGUGCGAGCGUUAAUCGGAAUAACUGGGCGUAAAGGGCACGCAGGCGGUUAUUUAAGUGAGGUGUGAAAGCCCCGGGCUUAACCUGGGAAUUGCAUUUCAGACUGGGUAACUAGAGUACUUUAGGGAGGGGUAGAAUUCCACGUGUAGCGGUGAAAUGCGUAGAGAUGUGGAGGAAUACCGAAGGCGAAGGCAGCCCCUUGGGAAUGUACUGACGCUCAUGUGCGAAAGCGUGGGGAGCAAACAGGAUUAGAUACCCUGGUAGUCCACGCUGUAAACGCUGUCGAUUUGGGGGUUGGGGUUUAACUCUGGCGCCCGUAGCUAACGUGAUAAAUCGACCGCCUGGGGAGUACGGCCGCAAGGUUA
Molecule: ribosomal RNA, 546 nt
Filed under: uncultured bacterium
Lineage: Bacteria
Description: bacterial SSU rRNA
Rfam family: Bacterial small subunit ribosomal RNA
Source: RNAcentral